AUCGAUCGAGUCGAUGACGGUGCCCCGAAAGGGGUGAAACGGGAAAGCGGUGAGGGUUCGCCCGAAGCCGCUGCUGCCCCCGCAACUGUAAGCGGUGAAGCGCCCGGUCCAUGAGCCACUGUUCGCGAUGCGAAUGGGAAGGCGGACCGAGCUGAGAACCGCGAGCCAGGAGACCGGCCGCCAUCAUGCGCAACCG
This 196-nucleotide non-coding RNA is filed under the name Hyphomicrobiales bacterium. Lineage: Bacteria; Pseudomonadati; Pseudomonadota; Alphaproteobacteria; Hyphomicrobiales. The record is from RNAcentral.